Molecule: ribosomal RNA, 253 nt
Filed under: uncultured bacterium
Lineage: Bacteria
Description: partial 16S ribosomal RNA
Rfam family: Bacterial small subunit ribosomal RNA
Source: RNAcentral
UACGGGGGGGGCAAGCGUUGUUCGGAAUUACUGGGCGUAAAGGGUUCGUAGGCGGCCAACUAAGUCGGCCGUGAAAUCCCCAGGCUCAACCUGGGAACUGCGUCCGAUACUGGAUGGCUUGAAUCCGGGAGAGGGAUGCAGAAUUCCAGGUGUAGCGGUGAAAUGCGUAGAUAUCUGGAGGAAUACCGGUGGCGAAGGCGGCAUCCUGGACCGGCAUUGACGCUGAGGAGCGAAAGCCAGGGGAGCAAACGGG